Molecule: ribosomal RNA, 460 nt
Filed under: uncultured bacterium
Lineage: Bacteria
Description: partial 16S ribosomal RNA
Rfam family: Bacterial small subunit ribosomal RNA
Source: RNAcentral
CCUACGGGCGGCAGCAGUGAGGAAUAUUGGUCAAUGGACGAGAGUCUGAACCAGCCAAGUAGCGUGAAGGAUGACUGCCCUAUGGGUUGUAAACUUCUUUUAUAUGGGAAUAAAAUGUUCCACGUGUGGGAUUUUGUAUGUACCAUAUGAAUAAGGAUCGGCUAACUCCGUGCCAGCAGCCGCGGUAAUACGGAGGAUACGAGCGUUAUCCGGAUUUAUUGGGUUUAAAGGGAGCGUAGGUGGAUUGUUAAGUCAGUUGUGAAAGUUUGCGGCUCAACCGUAAAAUUGCAGUUGAAACUGGCAGUCUUGAGUACAGUAGAGGUGGGCGGAAUGCGUGGUGUAGCGGUGAAAUGCUUAGAUAUCACGAAGAACUCCGAUUGCGAAGGCAGUUCACUGGACUGCAACUGACACUGAGGCUCGAAAGUGUGGGUAUCAAACAGGAUUAGAUACCCCUGUAGUC